CAGUCGCCGCGGGAAUACAGAGGGUGCGAGCGUUAAUCGGAUUUACUGGGCGUAAAGCGUGCGUAGGCGGCUUCUUAAGUCGGAUGUGAAAUCCCUGAGCUUAACUUAGGAAUUGCAUUCGAUACUGGGAAGCUAGAGUAUGGGAGAGGAUGGUAGAAUUCCAGGUGUAGCGGUGAAAUGCGUAGAGAUCUGGAGGAAUACCGAUGGCGAAGGCGACUAUCUGGGCCAACACUGACACUGAGGCACGAAAGCGUGGGGAGCAAACAGGAUUAGAUACCCCCGUAGUCCCUGUCUCUUAUAC
RNAcentral lists this ribosomal RNA (301 nucleotides) under uncultured bacterium. RNAcentral's name for it is "partial 16S ribosomal RNA". It matches the Rfam family "Bacterial small subunit ribosomal RNA", at positions 509 to 807 of the family's 1533-position model. The record is from RNAcentral.